RNAcentral lists this ribosomal RNA (468 nucleotides) under uncultured bacterium. RNAcentral describes it as "partial 16S ribosomal RNA". It matches the Rfam family "Bacterial small subunit ribosomal RNA", at positions 28 to 507 of the family's 1533-position model. The record is from RNAcentral.
GACGAACGCUGGCGGCGUGCUUAACACAUGCAAGUCGAACGGAAAGGCCCUGCUUUUGUGGGGUGCUCGAGUGGCGGACGGGUGAGUAACACGUGAGUAACCUGCCCUUGCCUUUGGGAUUCCUUCAGGAAACUGGGGCUACUACCGGAUAGGAGUUCCUGCUGCAUGGUGGGGGUUGGAAAGUUUCGGCGGUUGGGGAUGGACUCGCGGCUUAUCAGCUUGUUGGUGGGGUAGUGGCUUACCAAGGCUUUGACGGGUAGCCGGCCUGAGAGGGUGACCGGCCACAUUGGGACUGAGAUACGGCCCAGACUCCUACGGGAGGCAGCAGUGGGGAAUAUUGCACAAUGGGCGGAAGCCUGAUGCAGCAACGCCGCGUGCGGGAUGACGGCCUUCGGGUUGUAAACCGCUUUCGCCUGGGACGAAGCGUGAGUGACGGUAAUGGGAAAAGAAGCACCGGCUAACUACGUG